CGUCAGAUAGCUCAGUGGUCUAGAGCAGUCGCCCGGCAAGAAAAAGACCCGGGUUCGAUUCCCAAUCUAGCGA
Molecule: non-coding RNA, 73 nt
Organism: Harpegnathos saltator (Jerdon's jumping ant)
Lineage: Eukaryota; Metazoa; Arthropoda; Insecta; Hymenoptera; Formicidae
Source: Rfam